Molecule: non-coding RNA, 75 nt
Organism: Schistocerca nitens (vagrant locust)
Lineage: Eukaryota; Metazoa; Arthropoda; Insecta; Orthoptera; Acrididae
Source: the annotation of a RefSeq genome assembly
GUCCCGGAUAGCGCAGUGGUUAUCGCACCUGCCUGGUAAGCGGGAGGUCCCGGGUUCGAAUCCCUGUCCGGUACA